GCUAACAAUAAUCUUUAGGGAGAAGCAACCUUACUAUGAAAAUGACUGCCCAAACUCAAAUGUCUCUAAGAUUUUCUUUAACUAAGAAAUAAUUCUAUUUUUUUAAAAUGGAAGUAUGGUCAGAAGUCAAGAAAUUGGAUCAAUAGGCUAUCAGAUGAGAUGUAACUACAGAGGUCAUUUUUUUUAAAGCCUGAAGAGUCACAAGUUGAGAAGCCCACUCUGAGAGUUACUGCCUAGAUGUAGUCACUAAGUCCACAGUUAAGAAACAAAGCAUGGCUGCCCCCAGGAGAUUAUCUCUUCCAGUUCACUUGGGGAAGGUGCCUGAGGACACAUCCCUUCCAUCUUAUGGCAGAAGAUACCCACAUCUAAGAAUCCAAAUCCAAUGAGUAAUCAUCCUGAUCUUGUCAUCUCUAAAAUACUGAAUAGGAUUUUCUAUUCAACAUCUUCAGCACAAGGGUCAAGUCCCAGGCUUGACUAGCUAGAAGUGAGCCGAACCAAGCACAAAGCACUAUCAAUGGUUAAAAAGAAAUAACCAGACGCAGAGGGAGCCGCGCUCCCAUCACCUUGUUUCCAUCCCUUUAAGACAUCUCUUGAAGAGUCUUUCUUCAAACAAAAUUGGAGUGGUAGACCGUUUCAGUGCCGCUGUACAGAGAUUUGAUUGUUAUGAUUUUGCCUAUAUAACUUCUUACAUAUCAUAUGAAUGAGCUCGCACAAGCUUCUGGAUUUUGUAGAGGAGUUAUGGCAAGCCUUCUUAUUUUUGGUCUUAGCUGCUUGCAAGCAGCCCCACAAACUCUGGCAAUCAGGUGUUUUAGUCACUGAAAAUUAGGAAGUUCUCUAACAAAGAGAUGACCAUAUGCUGCUGACACAGAUGCCUGGAAAUUCCCCCCCACAAAGCACCAGGAUCUUCUUUCAAACUAACGAAAGUAUCAAUUAACUGUACUGGAAAUUAUUUUACCUAUGUAAAAAUGUGCUACUUUUGUUUAUGCUGUGGAAUAGUACUUUAAUUGUAUAAAAGUGUGUUACAUUUGUU
Long non-coding RNA from Mesocricetus auratus (golden hamster), 1030 nucleotides. RefSeq lists it as uncharacterized. The transcript has 6 exons. The record is from RefSeq and is a predicted model, not a curated record. NCBI's taxonomy places the organism in Eukaryota, Metazoa, Chordata, Mammalia, Rodentia, Cricetidae.